Molecule: long non-coding RNA, 267 nt
Organism: Carassius auratus (goldfish)
Lineage: Eukaryota; Metazoa; Chordata; Actinopteri; Cypriniformes; Cyprinidae
Exons: 2
Source: RefSeq, a predicted model, not a curated record
AUAGAAGACAGUCUUGUCCAGCUGUGGUCCACCCCAGACUUCACAUCUGAGGGUCACAGGCUCCCCCUUCAGAGCAGGAACGGCCGGAGGAACCAACAUCACCAUGAGCUCUGAGAAACAGAGAACACACACAGGUGAUCUGAAAUACAACAGGAAGUGGAGUAAUGAGUCACCUGUCUUUUUCAGCGUCACUGCAUUGCUUCGAAGAAAUGCUUGCUUUUUCUUGCACCAGAAAGUGGCUCUUUCUGCCUCCUUAAAUUCUGCAAA